UGCGACCUACGGGAGGCAGCAGUGGGGGAUAUUGCACAAUGGGGGCAACCCUGAUGCAGCGACGCCGCAUGAGCGAUGGAGUACUUCGGUAUGUAAAGCUCUGUCAGCAGGGAAGAGAAUGACGGUACCUGACCAAGAAGCCCCGGCUAAAUACGUGCCAGCAGCCGCGGUAAUACGUAUGGGGCAAGCGUUAUCCGGAUUUACUGGGUGUAAAGGGAGCGUAGACGGCCAUGCAAGCCUGGAGUGAAAGCCCGGGGCCCAACCCCGGGACUGCUCUGGGAACUGUGCGGCUGGAGUGCGGGAGG
This 305-nucleotide ribosomal RNA is filed under the name uncultured bacterium. RNAcentral describes it as "bacterial SSU rRNA". It matches the Rfam family "Bacterial small subunit ribosomal RNA", at positions 331 to 655 of the family's 1533-position model. The record is from RNAcentral.